AGCUCCAAUAGCGUAUAUUAAAGUUGUUGCAGUUAAAAAGCUCGUAGUUGAACUUCAGACCUGGCUGGGCGGUCCGCUUAACGGCGUGUACUGUCUGGCUGGGCCUUACCUCUUGGUGAGCCGGCGUGCCCUUUAUUGGUGUGCGUCGGGGAACCAGGACUUUUACCUUGAGAAAAUUAGAGUGUUCAAAGCAGGCCUAUGCCCGAAUACAUUAGCAUGGAAUAAUAAAAUAGGACGUGCGGUUCUAUUUUGUUGGUUUCUAGAGUCGCCGUAAUGAUUAAUAGGGAUAGUUGGGGGCAUUGGUAUUGAGUCGCUAGAGGUGAAAUUCUUGGAUUGACUCAAGACCGACUAUUGCGAAAGCAUUUGCCAAGGAUGUUUUCA
Molecule: ribosomal RNA, 381 nt
Filed under: uncultured eukaryote
Lineage: Eukaryota
Description: SSU rRNA
Rfam family: Eukaryotic small subunit ribosomal RNA
Source: RNAcentral